Myotis lucifugus (little brown bat) is the source of this 102-nucleotide small nuclear RNA. NCBI's taxonomy places the organism in Eukaryota, Metazoa, Chordata, Mammalia, Chiroptera, Vespertilionidae. The record is from Ensembl.
GCAAAUCAGAAGAGUGUGUUUCUUUCAAAAUUGGAACGAUACAGAGAAGAUUAGCCUGUGCAAGGAUGACCCAAAAAAAAGAAAGAACAUUUCCCAAAGCCC